RNAcentral lists this microRNA precursor (116 nucleotides) under Lotus japonicus. Its description in RNAcentral is "miR11154 stem-loop (lja-MIR11154)". The record is from miRBase by way of RNAcentral. Lineage: Eukaryota; Viridiplantae; Streptophyta; Magnoliopsida; Fabales; Fabaceae.
GGAUACUGUGUGCAUGUCUUGAUACACGGUAGAAAAUCACAGCAAAACAAAUAGUAAUUUACUUUGAUUGUGAUUUUUACCGUGUAUCCAAACAUUCAUCAAAUUAGUUUUUGUCC